Molecule: long non-coding RNA, 300 nt
Filed under: Elaeis guineensis (African oil palm)
Lineage: Eukaryota; Viridiplantae; Streptophyta; Magnoliopsida; Arecales; Arecaceae
Description: long non-coding RNA (EGUI_LNC054269)
Source: RNAcentral
ACUUUCCGAACUCCAGGCUGAAACCCUGAAGAACUCACUAAAAUCCUGCGCACACUUUUUCUUUCUUUUCUUUCUUUUUCUCUCGGAAGGAUAUAGACCUUCACCUUGCACACAAGGAUUCCUCAUGCCCAGAUUUUUUCUCCAAAAUUUUUCUUGCACACGCCCCACUCUUCUCCUCCGUUUAAAAUUGUUGGUGCAAAAAUUUGCUUGCGCUGGAGAAGCUGGAGUCGGGGAAGCCGCGGUCGCCGCCGGGACCUGCAAAGGAAGUCUAAAUCGGAGGUGGGGUUGCUCCGGCAAGAC